RNAcentral lists this ribosomal RNA (497 nucleotides) under uncultured bacterium. RNAcentral's name for it is "partial 16S ribosomal RNA". It matches the Rfam family "Bacterial small subunit ribosomal RNA", at positions 28 to 507 of the family's 1533-position model. The record is from RNAcentral.
GAUGAACGCUGGCGGCGUGCCUAAUACAUGCAAGUCGAGCGAACAGACGAGGAGCUUGCUCCUCUGACGUUAGCGGCGGACGGGUGAGUAACACGUGGAUAACCUACCUAUAAGACUGGGAUAACUUCGGGAAACCGGAGCUAAUACCGGAUAAUAUAUUGAACCGCAUGGUUCAAUAGUGAAAGACGGUUUUGCUGUCACUUAUAGAUGGAUCCACGCCGGAUUAGCUAGUUGGUAAGGUAACGGCUUACCAAGGCAACGAUGCGUAGCCGACCUGAGAGGGUGAUCGGACAAACUGGAACUGAGACACGGUCCAGAAGCCUACGGGAGGAAGCAGUAGGGAAUAUUCCGCAAUGGGCGAAAGCAUGACGGAGCAACGCCGCGUGAGUGAUGAAGGUCUUCGGAUCGUAAAACUCUGUUAUUAGGGAAGAAAAAAUGUGUAAGUAAAUAUGCACGUCUUGACGGUACCUAAUCAGAAAGCCACGGCUAACUACGUG